Stegodyphus mimosarum is the source of this 73-nucleotide non-coding RNA. NCBI's taxonomy places the organism in Eukaryota, Metazoa, Arthropoda, Arachnida, Araneae, Eresidae. The record is from Rfam.
GUCUUCAUGGUGUAGUGGUCAGCACGCUCGCCGCAUAUUCGAGAGGUCCGUGGUUCGAAUCCCAGCGAGGGCA